UGAGGAAUAUUGGACAAUGGGGGAAACCCUGAUCCAGCCAUGCCGCGUGAGUGAAGAAGGCCUUCGGGUUGUAAAGCUCUUUCAAUGGUGAAGAUAAUGACGGUAACCAUAGAAGAAGCCCCGGCUAAAUUCGUGCCAGCAGCCGCGGUAAUACGAAUGGGGCAAGCGUUGUUCGGAAUCACUGGGCUUAAAGCGUGCGUAGGCGGAAACGAAAGUCAGACGUGAAAUCCCGGGGCUCAACCCCGGAACUGCGUUUGAAACUCCGUUUCUAGAAUCCGGUAGAGGUCAGGAGAAUUCCCAGUGUAGAGGUGAAAUUCGCAGAUAUUGGGAAGAAUACCAGUGGCGUAGGCGCCUGACUGGGCCGGUAUUGACGCUGAGGUACGAAAGCGUGGGGAGCAAACAGGAUUAGAUACCCCCGUAGUCC
This 424-nucleotide ribosomal RNA is filed under the name uncultured prokaryote. Its description in RNAcentral is "bacterial SSU rRNA". It matches the Rfam family "Bacterial small subunit ribosomal RNA", at positions 355 to 796 of the family's 1533-position model. The record is from RNAcentral.